This 603-nucleotide long non-coding RNA is filed under the name Neogobius melanostomus (round goby). RNAcentral's name for it is "lncRNA (ENSNMLG00000009509.1)". Lineage: Eukaryota; Metazoa; Chordata; Actinopteri; Gobiiformes; Gobiidae. The record is from RNAcentral.
CUACAACUCUCUUGGAUCAUUGUUUUGUAGGUUUUCUGGUGAGAAGGUCCUUUAGCAGUGAAAACCUACCAGAAACGGCAAGGACAAUUAAUGGUCUUUUCACCACUUCCCAAUGAGGCUGAGAUUGCGCACACCAAGAAACUUUUUAGACGCAAGAGGAAUGACCGACGGAGACCGCAACGAACUCAAGGAGGAGGUGGUGGAGGAGGCGGUGGGAAGAACCAGCCUCUGCACAUUCAGCAGUCGCCACAGCAUCAAAAAGAUCAAACUCGGCAAUCAUCUCCAAACCAGAACCCAACAGAACUGGGGGACAAUAAAAAUAGCGGUCGACCGCCACGGCAUGGGCAGCGCCAAGGAGGACGCCCGCUUCACGGAUACAGUCAAAGUCGACGUUGGCACCCGAAUCAGAAAGGUCAAGAGCCCGAACAGACAAAUGCUGUGGGCGAUAAAGGCAUGCCCCCAAUUACUACCAAAGACACGGAGAAUGUUACACAGAGUGACAAGUUGGUCUGCCACAAGACCAACAAAACACCUCCUCGAAAAGUCUGUCGGAGUCGCCCCAAACUGAGACCACACCCACUAAAAAUGACUUUUCAGGCCUGA